RNAcentral lists this ribosomal RNA (485 nucleotides) under uncultured bacterium. RNAcentral's name for it is "bacterial SSU rRNA". It matches the Rfam family "Bacterial small subunit ribosomal RNA", at positions 28 to 507 of the family's 1533-position model. The record is from RNAcentral.
GAUGAACGCUAGCGGGAGGCUUAACACAUGCAAGUCGAGGGGCAGCAUAGGGUAGCAAUACUCUGAUGGCGACCGGCAAACGGGUGAGUAACGCGUAUGCAACCUACCCUGUACAGGGGGAUAACCCGGAGAAAUUCGGACUAAUAUCCCGUAAUAAUAUCCGGAGGCAUCUUUGGAUAUUUAAAGUUCCGACGGUACGGGAUGGGCAUGCGUAACAUUAACUGGUUGGUAAGGUAACGGCUUACCAAGGCUAUGAUGUUUAGGGGUCCUGAGAGGGUGGUCCCCCACACUGGUACUGAGACACGGACCAGACUCCUACGGGAGCAGCAGUGAGGAAUAUUGGUCAAUGGGCGCAAGCCUGAACCAGCCAUCCCGCGUGCAGGAAGACGGCCCUAUGGGUUGUAAACUGCUUUUCCAGGGAGAGAAACUUACGCACGUGUUGCGUGACUGACGGUACCCUGGGAAUAAGCAUCGGCUAAUCCGUG